This 652-nucleotide ribosomal RNA is filed under the name uncultured fungus. RNAcentral's name for it is "eukaryotic LSU rRNA". The stretch from base 117 to 270 matches the Rfam family "5.8S ribosomal RNA". The record is from RNAcentral. Lineage: Eukaryota; Fungi.
GAGAAUUGCUGUGCAAUAAGCCAGCUCUUCUUGUAUUCAGGUCUAUGUUUCUACAUACCCCACAUGAAAGUAUUUUGAAUGUCGAAACUGGCCUUUGUGCCUUUAAAAACAAAUACAACUUUCAACAACGGAUCUCUUGGCUCUCGCAUCGAUGAAGAACGCAGCGAAAUGCGAUAAGUAAUGUGAAUUGCAGAAUUCAGUGAAUCAUCGAAUCUUUGAACGCACCUUGCGCUCCUUGGUAUUCCGAGGAGCAUGCCUGUUUGAGUGUCAUGAAAUUCUCAACCUCUCUAGUUUUUUCAACUGGUUAGGCUUGGAUUAUGGAAGUUGCUGGCUCAUUGUGAAUCAGCUCUUCUCAAAUGUAUUAGCAAAGACCUUUGCUGCUCAUCAUUGGUAUGAUAAUUAUCUAUAUCGUUGAUAAACAGUGUCCUUCACGGGAGAGAUCUUGCUUCUAAUAGUCUCUUUAGACAAUUUGACAACUUUUGACCUCAAAUCAGGUAGGACUACCCGCUGAACUUAAGCAUAUCAAUAAGCGGAGGAAAAGAAACUAACAAGGAUUCCCCUAGUAACUGCGAGUGAAGCGGGAAAAGCUCAAAUUUAAAAUCUGGUAGUCUUUGGCUGCCCGAGUUGUAAUCUAGAGAAGCGUCUUCCGCGC